RNAcentral lists this ribosomal RNA (266 nucleotides) under uncultured bacterium. RNAcentral describes it as "partial 16S ribosomal RNA". It matches the Rfam family "Bacterial small subunit ribosomal RNA", at positions 88 to 353 of the family's 1533-position model. The record is from RNAcentral.
CUGGCGACCGGCGCACGGGUGAGUAACACGUAUCCAACCUGCCUCAUACUCGGGGAUAGCCUUUCGAAAGAAAGAUUAAUAUCCGAUAGCAUAUAUUUCCCGCAUGGGUUUUAUAUUAAAGAAAUUCGGUAUGAGAUGGGGAUGCGUUCCAUUAGUUUGUUGGGGGGGUAACGGCCCACCAAGACUACGAUGGAUAGGGGUUCUGAGAGGAAGGUCCCCCACAUUGGAACUGAGACACGGUCCAAACUCCUACGGGAGGCAGCAUG